AAAACAUGGUGAGAACAUUCUCUUAUAUAUCCUUUAUAACGAUCCCCAGCUUUAUGAAAAAGUUCACCUUUUUUUGUUGGAACCUAUAAAUCUUGUCUUU
Molecule: small nucleolar RNA, 100 nt
Filed under: Eutrema salsugineum
Lineage: Eukaryota; Viridiplantae; Streptophyta; Magnoliopsida; Brassicales; Brassicaceae
Description: Plant small nucleolar RNA R71
Rfam family: Plant small nucleolar RNA R71
About the family: R71 is a member of the C/D box family of snoRNAs containing the C (UGAUGA) and D (CUGA) box motifs. Multiple nearly identical copies of this snoRNA have been identified in Arabidopsis, and it is thought to function as a 2'-O-ribose methylation guide for 18S ribosomal RNA.
Source: Rfam by way of RNAcentral